AGCAGCCGCGGUAAUUCCAGCUCCAAUAGCGUAUAUUAAAGUUGUUGCAGUUAAAAAGCUCGUAGUUGAAUUUCGGGAUUGACACAUCGGUCGUGCCUUAAGGGGCAUGAACUGGUGUAGUCAAUUUCUCACCUUCUGGAGAACCGCGAUGCCCUUAAUUGGGUGUCGCGGGGAACCAGGACCUUUACUUUGAAAAAAUUAGAGUGUUUAAAGCAGGCAUUUUGCUUGAAUACAUUAGCAUGGAAUAAUAAAAUAGGACGGCAUGAUUCUAUUUUGUUGGUUUCUAGGAUCACCGUAAUGAUUAAUAGGGAUAGUUGGGGGCAUUAGUAUUCAAUUGUCAGAGGUGAAAUUCUUGGAUUUAUUGAAGACUAACUACUGCGAAAGCAUUUGCCAAGGAUGUUUUCAUUAAUCAAGAACGAAAGUUAGGGGAUCGAAGACGAUCAGAUACCGUCGUAGUCUUAACCAUAAACUAUGCCGACUAGGAAUCAGACGAUGUUAAUUUUUUAAUGACUCGUUUGGCACCUUACG
Molecule: unclassified non-coding RNA, 528 nt
Filed under: uncultured Glomeromycotina
Lineage: Eukaryota; Fungi; Glomeromycota
Description: SSU rRNA
Rfam family: Eukaryotic small subunit ribosomal RNA
Source: RNAcentral